RNAcentral lists this non-coding RNA (954 nucleotides) under Bathygadus favosus. RNAcentral describes it as "12S ribosomal RNA". It matches the Rfam family "Bacterial small subunit ribosomal RNA". Lineage: Eukaryota; Metazoa; Chordata; Actinopteri; Gadiformes; Macrouridae. The record is from RNAcentral.
CAAAGGUUUGGUCCUGACUUUACUAUCAACUCUAACCAUAUUUACACAUGCAAGUCUCCGCACUCCCGUGCAAAUGCCCUUAAUGUCCCGCCCGGAACCAAGGAGCAGGUAUCAGGCACGUAUAAACAGCCCAUAACGCCUUGUUCAGCCACACCCCUACGGGUAGUCAGCAGUGAUAGAUUUUAAGCUAUAAGUGAAAACUUGACUUAGUAACGGUUAAGAGGGCCGGUAAAUCUCGUGCCAGCCACCGCGGUUAUACGAGAGGCCCAAGUUGAUGAAAACGGCGUAAAGAGUGGUUAAGAAAAUAAAUAAAAUAAGGCCGAAUAGUCUCAUUGCAGUUAUACGUUUACGAGACCACUAAGCACAUUCACGAAAGUAGCCUUAGCAGAAUUCUGACUCCACGAGAGCCAUAAGACAAACUGGGAUUAGAUACCCCACUAUGUAUGGUUGUAAAAUUUGAUGGCUUGAUACUCAAACCAUUCGCCAGGGAAUUACGAGCACGAGCUUAAAACCCAAAGGACUUGGCGGUGUUUUAGACCCCCCUAGAGGAGCCUGUUCUAUAACUGAUAAUCCUCGUUAAACCUCACCACCUCUAGUUCCCAUAAGCCGUCUAUAUACCGCCGUCGCAAGCUUACCCUUUGAAGGAUUAAUAGUAAGCAAAAUUGGUAAUACCAAAAACGUCAGGUCGAGGUGUAGCAAAUGGGGUGGGAAGAAAUGGGCUACAUUCUCUGCAGAAGAGUACUACGAAUGGUGGUUUGAAAUAGGCCGCACAGAAGGUGGAUUUAGUAGUAAGUAGGGAGCAGAGUGCCUUACUGAAAAUGGCUCUAAAACGCGUACACACCGCCCGUCACUCUCUCUUAAUAUCUUUUAAAAAUUUACUUAAAUUGCUAUCAUACAAUAAGGGGAGACAAGUCGUAACAUGGUAAGCGUACCGGAAGGUGUGCUUGGAUCAAU